RNAcentral lists this ribosomal RNA (458 nucleotides) under uncultured bacterium. RNAcentral's name for it is "SSU rRNA". It matches the Rfam family "Bacterial small subunit ribosomal RNA", at positions 26 to 518 of the family's 1533-position model. The record is from RNAcentral.
AGAAUCAACGCUGGCGGCGUGCCUAACACAUGCAAGUCGAACGAGAAAGUGGAGCAAUCCAUUAGUAAAGUGGCGCACGGGUGAGUAACACGUGACUAACCUACCCUUGAGUGGGGGAUAACCUAGAGAAAUCUGGGCUAAUACCGCAUAAUACCUUCGGGUCAAAGGAGCAAUUCGCUUAAGGAGGGGGUCGCGGCCGAUUAGUUAGUUGGCGGGGUAAUGGCCCACCAAGACUAUGAUCGGUAUCCGGCCUGAGAGGGCGCACGGACACACUGGAACUGAAACACGGUCCAGACUCCUACGGGAGGCAGCAGUGGGGAAUUUGCGCAAUGGGGGAAACCCUGACGCAGCAACGCCGCGUGGAGGAUGAAGCCCCUUGGGGCUAAACUCCUUUCGAUCGGGACGAUAAUGACGGUACCGAGAGAAGAAGCCCCGGCUAACUUCGUGCCAGCAGCCGC